UACGUUUAAUUUUUUUUUUUUUUAUUUAUUAUUAAAUUGCUUUUUUAAGCUAUAGCAAUAAACGUUUGAAUUGUGAACCGAGACGGACCCGGGGGCGGUACCCGGCGCCUCCACCAAAAAAAUAACGGGGGGCGAAAUAGGAUCGACGUGCGUGGAAUUUUCAAAAACUUUGCUCGGAAUGGUACCAACGUUAUCGGACCAAACUUUAUAAAUGCCAACGAUAAUGAAAUGGCACUCGCUGCUUAAUUUAUUAAGCUAGCGCGGUUGUGAGGCACCGGGCAACAGAAGUCUCAUCG
This 296-nucleotide transfer-messenger RNA is filed under the name Alphaproteobacteria bacterium. It matches the Rfam family "Alphaproteobacteria transfer-messenger RNA". Rfam says of the family: Bacterial tmRNA, also known as 10Sa RNA or SsrA, is named for its dual tRNA and mRNA-like properties. Its role is to liberate the mRNA from a stalled ribosome. To accomplish this part of the tmRNA is used as a reading frame that ends in a translation stop signal. The record is from RNAcentral. Lineage: Bacteria; Pseudomonadati; Pseudomonadota; Alphaproteobacteria.